RNAcentral lists this ribosomal RNA (111 nucleotides) under Triticum aestivum (bread wheat). RNAcentral describes it as "partial small subunit ribosomal RNA". Lineage: Eukaryota; Viridiplantae; Streptophyta; Magnoliopsida; Poales; Poaceae. The record is from RNAcentral.
AUGGCCCACAUAUCAGAUAUUAAACUGAUAAAAACAGAUACUACACUUGAUCUUAGCCAAAAGGCCGAGAAAGGUAUGAGUUAAAACGGUGGCCACCCCAGCUCUUUAUAG